UGGAGGAUUGAGAAGGUUUGGCAGUCGAACUUGUGCUGCAUGAACUGGUUAUAACCUCCUAAAAGAGACUCCCACAGUUC
This is a small nucleolar RNA of Acipenser ruthenus (sterlet), 80 nucleotides long. RefSeq annotates it as small nucleolar RNA SNORA47. Lineage: Eukaryota; Metazoa; Chordata; Actinopteri; Acipenseriformes; Acipenseridae. The record is from RefSeq and is a predicted model, not a curated record. The transcript has a single exon.